This 117-nucleotide small RNA is filed under the name Marmota monax (woodchuck). Lineage: Eukaryota; Metazoa; Chordata; Mammalia; Rodentia; Sciuridae. The record is from RNAcentral.
GCCAGGGAUGGUGUGCAUGCCUGAAGUCCCAGCUCCCUGGGAGGCUGAAGCAGGAGGAUUGCUUGAGCCCAGGAGUUCAGAUCAGCCUGGGCAACAUGUGAGAAGAACCUGUCUCAA